UACGUAGGGGGCGAGCGUUAUCCGGAUUUACUGGGCGUAAAGCGUGCGUAGGUGGUUGGAUAAGUCGGAUGUGAAAGCCCUGGGCUCAACCUGGGAAUGGCAUUCGAUACUGCUCGACUAGAAUUCGGUAGAGGGAGGCGGAACUCCAGGUGUAGCGGUGAAAUGCGUAGAUAUCUGGAAGAACACCGAUGGCGAAGGCAACCUCCUGGGCCUGAAUUGACACUGAGGCACGAAAGCGUGGGUAGCAAACAGG
This 253-nucleotide ribosomal RNA is filed under the name uncultured prokaryote. Its description in RNAcentral is "partial 16S ribosomal RNA". It matches the Rfam family "Bacterial small subunit ribosomal RNA", at positions 524 to 776 of the family's 1533-position model. The record is from RNAcentral.